This 71-nucleotide transfer RNA is filed under the name Neoconidiobolus thromboides FSU 785. RNAcentral describes it as "tRNA-His". It matches the Rfam family "tRNA". Rfam says of the family: Transfer RNA (tRNA) molecules are approximately 80 nucleotides in length. Their secondary structure includes four short double-helical elements and three loops (D, anti-codon, and T loops). Lineage: Eukaryota; Fungi; Entomophthoromycota; Entomophthoromycetes; Entomophthorales; Neoconidiobolaceae. The record is from RNAcentral.
GUCAAUGUAGUAUAGUGGUAGUACACCGCGUUGUGGCCGCGAUAGCGGGGGUUCGAUUCCCCCCAUUGACA